Molecule: long non-coding RNA, 723 nt
Filed under: Homo sapiens (human)
Lineage: Eukaryota; Metazoa; Chordata; Mammalia; Primates; Hominidae
Description: HSALNT0373781
Source: RNAcentral
UGUAACACUCACCACGAGGGUCCGCAGCUUCAUUCUUAAAGUCAGCGAGACCAAGAACCCACCAAUUCCGGACACGCAAGUAUUCGUAACGUUCUUCUGUUCCAAGAAAAAUGGUCUUCUUACUUCCUUGAUGGCUCACAACAUGCUCCUUUCUACUGCAGGAACACUGUAUAACUUCUGUCAAGCAUGAACUCCCCACCUCUGUUUGACAUACUUCUCUACUUUCAGAACUCAGCUGAACUAUCGCUUCUCAAGGGAGCACUCAAACUUCCUGAACAGAACCACCUUAGAUAUUGCUGGCCAGCUCAUGAAUUGUGGCUUGUGGUCCAGCUAAUCUUUCCUAGUCUAUUCAGCUAUGGCCAGAGAAGAUGUGCUUAACUUGUGGAGCCUUACUGUUUCUCUAAGGACAUUCUUCUACAUAAUGUUGCGUCAGUAGAAUAAUUUUCUCACCAAGUGAUAGCUAGGUAGGUCAGUAAAUCCUCUCCUACACCGUAGUUAUUUGCUUUAAGCCAACUUGAAGUGAACUUCUGUCUCUUCUUUAAUCUGAGAAUCUUACGUCUUCAAGCCCUGUUCACACCGCUUGUCCCAUUAGAAUAAACCUUAUUUAAGCUAAGUUCUUUCCCAUCUCAAGAUCACUACACUGGCUGUUCCCACUUCUAGGAAUGCUCUGAUUGGAAUCCCAUUACGUCUUCCACAUUAAAGGAAGCAUUGUUUGUUCUAGAA